RNAcentral lists this ribosomal RNA (553 nucleotides) under uncultured archaeon. Its description in RNAcentral is "bacterial SSU rRNA". It matches the Rfam family "Archaeal small subunit ribosomal RNA", at positions 95 to 653 of the family's 1478-position model. The record is from RNAcentral.
UACACGUGGAUAACCUGCCCUAAGGUGGGGCAUAACCCCGGGAAACUGGGGAUAAUACCCCAUAGGUUAGAGAUGCUGGAAUGCACUUUAACCCAAAGCUCCGGCGCCUUAGGAUGGAUCUGCGGCCGAUUAGGUAGUUGUUGGGGUAAUGGCCCAACAAGCCUGUAAUCGGUACGGGUUGUGGGAGCAAGAGCCCGGAGAUGGACUCUGAGACACGAGUCCAGGCCCUACGGGGCGCAGCAGGCGCGAAAACUUUACAAUGCAGGAAACUGUGAUAAGGGAACCCCGAGUGCCCGUAUACGCGGGCUGUCCAGGUGUUUAAAACGCAUCUGAAGAAAGGGCCGGGCAAGACCGGUGCCAGCCGCCGCGGUAAUACCGGCGGCUCGAGUGGUGGCCACUUUUAUUGGGCUUAAAGCGUCCGUAGCUUGGUUGUUAAGUCUCUUGGGAAAUCUCACGGCUUAACCGUGAGGCGUCUAAGGGAUACUGGCAACCUAGGGACCGGAAGAGGUGAGAGGUACUCCAGGGGUAGGAGUGAAAUCCUGUAAUCCUUGGG